Molecule: ribosomal RNA, 868 nt
Filed under: Lacticaseibacillus casei
Lineage: Bacteria; Bacillati; Bacillota; Bacilli; Lactobacillales; Lactobacillaceae
Description: bacterial SSU rRNA
Rfam family: Bacterial small subunit ribosomal RNA
Source: RNAcentral
CAAGUCGAACGAGUUCUCGUUGAUGAUCGGUGCUUGCACCGAGAUUCAACAUGGAACGAGUGGCGGACGGGUGAGUAACACGUGGGUAACCUGCCCUUAAGUGGGGGAUAACAUUUGGAAACAGAUGCUAAUACCGCAUAGAUCCAAGAACCGCAUGGUUCUUGGCUGAAAGAUGGCGUAAGCUAUCGCUUUUGGAUGGACCCGCGGCGUAUUAGCUAGUUGGUGAGGUAAUGGCUCACCAAGGCGAUGAUACGUAGCCGAACUGAGAGGUUGAUCGGCCACAUUGGGACUGAGACACGGCCCAAACUCCUACGGGAGGCAGCAGUAGGGAAUCUUCCACAAUGGACGCAAGUCUGAUGGAGCAACGCCGCGUGAGUGAAGAAGGCUUUCGGGUCGUAAAACUCUGUUGUUGGAGAAGAAUGGUCGGCAGAGUAACUGUUGUCGGCGUGACGGUAUCCAACCAGAAAGCCACGGCUAACUACGUGCCAGCAGCCGCGGUAAUACGUAGGUGGCAAGCGUUAUCCGGAUUUAUUGGGCGUAAAGCGAGCGCAGGCGGUUUUUUAAGUCUGAUGUGAAAGCCCUCGGCUUAACCGAGGAAGCGCAUCGGAAACUGGGAAACUUGAGUGCAGAAGAGGACAGUGGAACUCCAUGUGUAGCGGUGAAAUGCGUAGAUAUAUGGAAGAACACCAGUGGCGAAGGCGGCUGUCUGGUCUGUAACUGACGCUGAGGCUCGAAAGCAUGGGUAGCGAACAGGAUUAGAUACCCUGGUAGUCCAUGCCGUAAACGAUGAAUGCUAGGUGUUGGAGGGUUUCCGCCCUUCAGUGCCGCAGCUAACGCAUUAAGCAUUCCGCCUGGGGAGUACGACCGC